This is a non-coding RNA of Epinephelus lanceolatus (giant grouper), 1331 nucleotides long. The record is from RefSeq and is a predicted model, not a curated record. Lineage: Eukaryota; Metazoa; Chordata; Actinopteri; Perciformes; Serranidae.
GUACUGUGUGUGUGUUCUCUCUCUGCAGGUCUGUUUGACACUCAUGGAAAAGUUCGUGAUCGUUGGACUCCAGCCAUCUUCCUCUUCGUCACUCUGGCGUCCAUCUCUGCUCUGCUGCUGGUGACCUUCGUGGUCAUCACGCUGAGACGUCGCGGUCUGUCUCGCCGUCCGUCUUCCAUCAGUGAUAAGGAGGAACUGCUUCCAGAACCAGACGAGCAGUCAUCUCUGGAGUCUCUGACUGUCCCAGAGAGUCCCAAACCGGACAAGGCCUGAGGAGAGGCCCUGCAGGGGCCCUGGGGCCCCACGAGGGGGGGGGUCCAGAGCAUAGCCUGAGGCCCUGGUCUGAUCCUGCUGUAAUUCUCUUUAAUAAUAAUAAUAUUAAUAACAUAGAGCUGUUGCUGUGGUUUUGGGUUUAACUUUCUUCCUGUAGCUCAGCUGAUGAUGAUGAUGAUGGUGAUGAUUCAGUCUGACUUUAAUUAAACUGUCAUUAAUAAGUCAGACCUGUGAUUAUUAUUUUACUGUUGACUUCCUGUCUUUAAUCUGUAACUAAAGAGAUUUGUGUGUUUUUCUUAGUUCUUUUUAUAUCAGCAAUAUGAAGGUGUCACUUUGACCUCAGGUGACCUCUGGUGACCUUAGGUGACAUCAGGUGACCUCAGGUGACCUUAGGUGACAUCAGGUGACCUCAGACAGAAGUUUGAUUCAUUUUUAUAUUUUAUAACUUUACCUUUUAAACGUGGGAUCAUAUGAGCUGCACAGUGUCGCAGGGCAGCGUCUUAAAAUCAGGAAGUGUCAGAGAAGCAGCAGAGAUGUUCAUUGAAGACUCCGUUUCCCAUGAUGCAACAUGAUCAAGUCUUUGAUUAGAGUCAGGUGACCUGUUACAGUCCUGCUCCAGGUCAGACGUUAACACGUGGAUCUUUAGUUUCAAUUUUAAAGUCAGAAUCUUUUAUUGACCCAUGGUGUGUUGAUCAUCAGCUUAAACUGACAUUACAUUUAUUUUGACUUUUGUCUGUAAAAUUCUGAUGUUAAUGUUAAGUUUUACUGUCAGUAAAUGUAAAGAUUAUUGAAUGAUAAUUUUGAUCAGAGUUUCAAAAAUAUAAAUAUUUGAUUGUGUUUUAUUGAUCCUCAGUGAUGAUUUGUUAUUUUCUGACCUGAAAGAGAAGGACAUGAAGUUUUAGUGUGAAUCGGCACUUUCAGGUUUUACUUCCUGUCCUCAGUCACACUUCCUGUUCAGAGACGUCUUGUCUGAUUUUAAUAUCAUCUGUUGUUGAUUAUUGAUUUUAAUAAAGUGAAGGUCUCACCUGUUUAUUCAAUAAAAGUUUAUUAACACGUCA